CUCAGCCAUUAAUAUUAACAUAACUCGGCCGUUAAUAUUUUGGGUUUUAUCAUGGCCCAUUGAGAUUUAGGUUUGAUACUUUGGGACGGCUGAGUGUGGAAAAUACGGCUCAGAACUAAUAUCGAGGCUUUUAUAACAUCAAGACGAUACUUUAGUAUUUAAAAACUGAUUUAACAUUCACGGUAAUCCUUUUUAUAAUAUUAAACGCCUUAUAAUAAUGGGACAUUUCGUCUUUCUUGAUUUGAAGGCUCAGAACUAAUAUCGAGGCCAUUUAUAACAUGGAGACGAUAAUCACGAGGAGUUAAAAAAUUAAAUAAGGAAGAAAUUAAUGAUAACUCAAUCGUAAUAUGAAAACAUUAAAAUCCAUUCCUCAGCCGUUAUACUAAUCAAGAAAACAAAAUAUAAUCGUAACAUGUUUAUAUAACUCAGUCGUAAUGUAAAACAUUAAAACCCAAAACCCAGCCGUAAUACAAAAAAAUUUAAACCCAAUUCUUUUAAUCGUCUCUCUUGCUCUGUCAUUCUGAUUCAUUUCGUCAUCCUUGUUCUCCGGAAACUGGUGGAGUGUUGUUCAUUGAAUACAUAUCUGUUGUUGUGAAUUCAAUCUGUUGUUCUCAAUUCAUUCAAUCUGUAAUCAUUGAGUACAGACUUUGCGAAUUCUUCAUGUCGGCGUUGAAUACAUAUCUAUUUUCUUAAUCCAGUUACCAUAAACAAUAAUUACCGGAUCCAUAAGAUCUCGGAGAAAGAUGAAGAAUAAGAUGAAGAAGAUAGAUAUAUAGAUAGAUGAAGAAGAAGAUGAACAGACAGACAAACGUAGUUGUAAAGUAGUUCGUUAGCAAUGACAUGGCAAAUCCAAGUUGAUGACAUGGCGGAUGACAUGGAAAAUAGGUUAAUCAGCCGACAAACAAAUAUAUAACUCAGCCUACGUAAAUCAGCUCUCAUCUACAAUGUAAGUCAGCCGAACCAAGAAAAUAUUUCAGUAAUUAAUCUUUUGAUCCUUAAUCAGCCGUAAUUAAGAUGAAAAACAAUAAAUCAGCCGUAUCGUCACAUAGAUCAGCCAUCAAACGAAUGAUAUUCUAGUAAUUAAUCUUUCCCUAAUAAGUCAGCCGUAACCGAGCUGAGUUUACUAUUAAUCCAUCCUAUUACGGCCAACUUAUCAUAAACUCAGCCGUAACAACAUCACAUUAGUCAGCCGUAAAUUAUAUAACUUAGCCAGUCGGUAUUCAUUAACUCAGCCGGGAAAACAUAACCCAGCCGUCUCUUAGUUACAACUCAGCCAAAUUUCCAGAAAACAAACCGCCGAUGUAUAAGUCAGCCGUAACCUUUGUUUGUAAGUCAGCCUAUUUCUCAUAAAUCAGCCACAAUUUUAUAAUUCAGCCAUACCUUUUGGCUGAUUUAUGUUCUUAAGUCAGUCUUUUCCUCUUAACUCAGCCGCAUUUGUUUAUUCAACCGACAUGUAGAUAUAAAUCAGCCGUAACGACGUAUGUAGCGAAUUACGGCUGGCUUAAUGAAAACACGGAACAUAAUUCCUACGUGGCGCCGGAUUUUUGCUUAUGUGGCAGCGAAAAGUAAUGACAUUCCUGUAAAUAUGUUUUUUUUCAUAACAUAAAAAAAGGGCACGCUUGAUAUUUUAAAAAUGCCAGUAAUAAAAAAAGAUCUUUAUGGUUCUUGUCAAUUGUCCUAAAAUUGUAUAUAUCUGAGUAAACUGCCCUUCUUUAAAUGCAGAUCAAUUAUCCAUUCAAUGAAGGCGCGAGAUCUUGUGCACUUCUCUCUCUCUGCAUUUGUGUAAACCCGUGAAUCAAUCCAAGAUCCAGCCAACAUAAUGGUAACACUACAAAAAAAAGUCUACAUUGAUAGCAGAUUGUUAUAGCACGUUUUACUAAACUGUUAUCGUAGAUGAUUUCGAAAUUUCCGGAUUUAUAUAAUAGCGUUAGAUAAACGCUAUGAUAGAAAAUAACAUAAAUAGCACUUAAUUAAUAAUAUUUGGAAAAUUAAGUGAGGGGGAAGACAAAAUUAUUGAUUCCACCAAUACUUCGCGGAAAAGUAGACUUAAGCACCAAAAAUAUUGUUUAAGCGGCUUCAGUAAUAUGCUAUCAAAACAUAUAAUAGCAUUUUUCUAACACUAAAAAAGCUAUUUGAACCCCUAAACUUUAAACAUGGUUUUAGACCCUAAACUCUAAAGAAAACCCUUAAAACUUUAAUCUUUUUCAUAUUAUAACUUCAAAUCUUAAAAUUAAACUUAAAAUUAGUCUUUUUAAUCUUAAACUAUAAUUUUCUAAACACAAAUCUUUAAUCAAAAUCUAUAUCCUAUAAAUUUCAAAUCAAACUAUUAAAAUUUAACUACAAAUCUUAUAUCUAGUCUUCAAAUUAGUUAUUUCCAACUUUAAUACAAAAUACUAACCUUAUAGCAUACUCUAAACUCUAAACUCCAAAACUUAACCUCAAACCACAUACAACAUUUCAAACCCCGUACACUACAAACCUUAAGCCAUAAAUUUUAAAUAGAAUAUAUUUCCUCUACAAACCAUAUAUCAUACUUCAAACACUAAACCCCAAAACUUAUCCUCAAACCACAUACAAUACUUCAAACCCUAUAUACUACAAACUUCAAACCAUAAAUUUGAAAUAAUAUAUAUUUAUUUCCUCUACAAACAUUAUAUCAUAUUUCAAAUCUUAAACCCCAAAACUUAACCUCAAACCACAUACACUACUUCAAAUCCUAUACGCUACAAACCUUAAACCAUAAAUUUAAAAUAAAAUAUAUUUCCUCUAACAUAUGUAUACCCCAUACUAUAUACAUACACCAAAUUCUAAAUUACACAAACCAAUCAAUAGUUUUAUUUAAUUUUAAAUGUUAUAAAAAGUGAAAUCUAAUCAUUUUAUUGAUUUUAUAUCAUUACUUUUAUAAUGUAAAUGAAUAACUUAAUUUUUAUAUAAACAAAACUACUCAAAAAUAUAAUUAACAUUAGUAAAAUAACUAUUAAAUAAAAUAACAGUUUUAUACUUAUUGAUUAAUUUUGAUCAUAGAUUGACUUUAAUCAAAUGGUCACAAAUGAACCUUGUGGUUAUCCUCAUGCUUCUUUCCUAUUGGUCAAUUUUGUUAAGACGAGGAUUGCACUUCUCUCUCUUUCCUCUCUCACGACGUCUCAUCUCUUCUCUCUCUUUCCUCUCUCACGACAAGGAUUAGAUCUGAAGUUGAUUGGAGUUUUGAGUCCAAGAGUCGAGAGAAGAAGAAUCAUGGAGAGUACGACCAAGUCUCUGAAACUUGCCUCCGUACGUCUCCUCUCAACACGUCACCACCACCACCACCGAGGCGCUCGUUACCACCACCGAGGCGCUCGUUACCACCACCACUCCCUUCGAUUCCGGCGCACACUUCACCACCACUAAGCUAAAGAAGGUGGAGGAGGCUGAAGAAGCUUGAUGGUGGUGGUCUCAAGGUCGACAAUGGUGGCUGAGCGUGAUGGUUUGAUGACUUGGUGAUAUCAUGCUGUUGACGAUGGCAGAGAGAGAGAGAGUGAUGACGGUGGCGAGGACAGCGGAUGGUGGCGAGGGUGGAGGAGGACAGCAUAUGGUGGCGAGUUUGGAUCGUGGAUGGUGGCUGAAGCUUUGUGAAGGUGGCGAUGGCGGCUGAAGCGUCUAGGUUUAGAUUUAGGUUUAGGUUUAGUUAAUCAAUUGGUUUAGUUAGUUAAGAGUAGAGUAAUAUAUUUAUGUAUUAUUGGUUUAGUUUUGUAAACCAAAAUUUAUUGUAAACUAAAUUUAAUUUAUAAAUAAAAUUUAUUUUAUUUUUAA
This is a long non-coding RNA of Brassica napus (rape), 3789 nucleotides long. RefSeq lists it as uncharacterized. Lineage: Eukaryota; Viridiplantae; Streptophyta; Magnoliopsida; Brassicales; Brassicaceae. The transcript is spliced from 2 exons. The record is from RefSeq and is a predicted model, not a curated record.